GAUGAACGCUAGCUACAGGCUUAACACAUGCAAGUCGAGGGGUAGCAGGGUAGCAAUACCGCUGACGACCGGCGCACGGGUGAGUAACACGUAUCCAACCUUCCCAUAACUCGGGGAUAGCCUUUCGAAAGAAAGAUUAAUACCCGAUAGUACUUUUUCAAGGCAUCUUGAGAAAGUUAAAGAUUUAUUGGUUAUGGAUGGGGAUGCGUUCCAUUAGAUAGUUGGUGAGGUAACGGCUCACCAAGUCUUCGAUGGAUAGGGGUUCUGAGAGGAAGGUCCCCCACAUUGGUACUGAGACACGGACCAAACUCCUACGGGAGGCAGCAGUGAGGAAUAUUGGUCAAUGGGCGAGAGCCUGAACCAGCCAAGUAGCGUGGAGGAUGAAGGUCCUAUGGAUUGUAAACUUCUUUUAUAGUAGAAUAAAGUGAUCCACGUGUGGAUUUUUGUAUGUAUACUAUGAAUAAGGAUCGGCUAACUCCGUGCCAGCAGCCGCGGUAA
This 498-nucleotide ribosomal RNA is filed under the name uncultured bacterium. Its description in RNAcentral is "partial 16S ribosomal RNA". It matches the Rfam family "Bacterial small subunit ribosomal RNA", at positions 28 to 523 of the family's 1533-position model. The record is from RNAcentral.